RNAcentral lists this unclassified non-coding RNA (425 nucleotides) under soil metagenome. Its description in RNAcentral is "partial contains 5.8S ribosomal RNA, internal transcribed spacer 2, and large subunit ribosomal RNA". The stretch from base 1 to 120 matches the Rfam family "5.8S ribosomal RNA", at positions 35 to 154 of the family's 154-position model. The record is from RNAcentral.
GAUGAAGAACGCAGCGAAAUGCGAUAAGUAGUGUGAAUUGCAGAAUUCCGUGAAUCAUCGAAUCUUUGAACGCACAUUGCGCCUUCUGGUAUUCCGGAAGGCAUGCCUGUUCGAGAGUCAUUAACAACCGUUUCGAUCCCUUUCUUUCAGAAAUUACAAAGAGGAAAAGGGUUUGGUUAUGGUGGAGGAGGGAAAGGGAGCGUUUAGCCUGUAAAAAAAGAGGCUGUGUUCCGCCUCCCCCCCAAAAUUGUACAGGCGGUCGUGUGCGCACACGCAUCGAGGUGUUGUAAAAGCUGCCACGGCACUUUUCACCUGUGCAGUGCGAGAUUGGCCAGCCGGUUUAAAAACCCCUCCAAACAAUCAAAGGUUGACCUCGGAUCAGGUAGGGAUACCCGCUGAACUUAAGCAUAUCAAUAAGCGGAGGA